This 8397-nucleotide long non-coding RNA is filed under the name Triticum aestivum (bread wheat). RNAcentral describes it as "long non-coding RNA (TAES_LNC020755)". The record is from RNAcentral. Lineage: Eukaryota; Viridiplantae; Streptophyta; Magnoliopsida; Poales; Poaceae.
GUGACGCCCGGAUAAUUAAGCUACAGUGAUCCCCGCUAAUGAUGCCACAUCACCCCGGUUACUGUGGAUAAACUCGCGUUAGUUCGAAACCUAGUUCGAAUUUCAAAUUUAAAACCGAGGCAAACUAUAAAAGUUUUCAAACAUUAAAAUUAAAAUGUUUGGAGUGUGCCAAUUAAUGCUUAGGUAUUUAUGGUGAAGAAACCACGCUUUUACUGAAUGCCUAAAUACUUUAAAAUAAAUUAAAACAGAAAAGAAAUGAGAUGAAAAAAAAGAAAAGGAAAAACAAAAACACAAAACUAACAAAAAAGAAAAGGAGCCCCCCUCCCACUGGGCCAACCAGCCAAGCUGGUCACCAGGCCGACUAGGCCGGCCCACCCCAUCCCACCUUAUCCCCCACUACCCCGAAACCCUAACCCCCAGUGCACCCACUCCCCAAUGCAUUGAUCCCCACUCUCCCCUNNNNNNNNNNNNNNNNNNNNNNNNNNNNNNNNNNNNNNNNNNNNNNNNNNNNNNNNNNNNNNNNNNNNNNNNNNNNNNNNNNNNNNNNNNNNNNNNNNNNNNNNNNNNNNNNNNNNNNNNNNNNNNNNNNNNNNNNNNNNNNNNNNNNNNNNNNNNNNNNNNNNNNNNNNNNNNNNNNNNNNNNNNNNNNNNNNNNNNNNNNNNNNNNNNNNNNNNNNNNNNNNNNNNNNNNNNNNNNNNNNNNNNNNNNNNNNNNNNNNNNNNNNNNNNNNNNNNUGCCAGACCGCGCCGCCCCUGGCGCCCGUCGCCACCACCACUCUGCCAUCGCCAAGCCGCCUCCUUGCCGGAGAGGGGACGGAUCCCGGGGGCCCUGUCGCGGAUUCGGCCUCCCUCGCCACCCGUCCACGACCACGCUGACGCGGGACCCUGCCCGGAGCCACCUCGCCCCUGUCGCACGAGGACCGCGUCGCCAGACUGCCUCCUCGACGCCGUCGUCUCCGUCCUCCUCCUCAACCCCCACUGCCUAGAUCCUACGACUCCGGUGAGGCCACGGCCUCUGCGCCCCCUCCUCUCUCUCCCUCGCCCCGUGCUCGUCUCCUCCCCUGCUCGCCACUCGGGGCCGCGCCAGCCCCACGCGCCCCGGCCACCUCCCGUUUGCCGCACCCAUCGCCGACUCCUCCGUGCUCGCCGCCGUUCACCUUGCCCCGCUCCUGCACCCCCCUGCACCGGUGACACCGCCUUGUCCGCGGCCAACUCCGGCGCUCUGACCGCCCCGCUCUCCUCCUCUCGCGCGCAGCCUUGCCGCGCUGAACGCCCGUCACCACCCUAAGUUCCCUUGGCCGGCGUCGUGGGCACCGGCGGCCAUGCCGGCGGCCUCGCCACGCCCGUGGCUGGCGCCCCCCCUGCCUGUCGAUCUGGGCGCUUGCCCAGUCGGGCGCCGACGCCCAGCGCCCGCACCCGCGGCAACGGCUGCGCCCGCAAACCCACUAGUCCCCCUGGGCCAAUGACAAGGGGGCCCCACCCCCCUGAACAUAUUUAUAAAAAUAAAAAUAAAAAUAAUUAAUUAAUUAAUUAGAGAAAUAAUUAACUUAAUUAACUUUGUUUAAUUAAACUAAACAACUAACUAAACUAAUUAAACAUUAGUUAUCUAAUUAACCUGGUUAGUUAAUUAGUAUGACAGUGGGGCCCACCCCUAAUUAAUUCUGAUUAGAUUAAAUUAAAUUUGGAUAAUUAACAUGUGUCUCUGACCAGUGGGACCCACUGGUCAGGUUGACCAAUCAACUCUGUUGACUGCUGACGUCAGCAUGACAUCAUGCUGAUGUCAUUAUUCCAUUUUCGAAUUAAUCUAAUUAACUAAUUAAAUUCCAGAAAUUAAUAAAAUCUUUAGAAAAUCAUAACUUUUAAUCCGUAACUCGGAUUAAAAUACUUUCUACAUGAAAGUUGCUCAGAACAACGAGACGAAUCCGGAUACGCAGCCUGUUCAUCCGCCAUGCGUCCCUAGCAUAGUGAACCUGCAACAUUUCACCUCCAGUUCAUCUAUCCGAAAACGUGAAACACCGAGGAUACUUUCCCGGAUGUUUCCCCCUUUCGCCGGUAUCAUCUACUACCGCGUUAGGGCACACCUAGCACCGCGCUUUGUCAUGUCAUGCAUCGUCAUGCAUUUGUUUGCAUUGUAAUUAUUGUUUCUUCCCCCUCUUCUCUCGCUAGAGACCGAGACCGACACCGCUGCUACCCAGUACGACUACGGUGUUGACGACCCCAUCUUCUUGCCAGAGCAACCCGGCAAGCCCCCCCCUUGAUCACCAGAUAUCGCCUAUUCUUCUCUAUACUGCUUGCAUUAGAGUAUUGUAGCAUGUUACUGUUCGGUUACUCCUAUUCUAUUGCAUAGCCUGUCAUUGUUGCUACAGUCAUUGAUACCCUACCCGCAAUCCUAAAUGCUUAGUAUAGGCUGCUAGUUUAUCAUCAUUGGCCCUACAUUCUUGUCAGUCUGCCUUGCUAUACUAUUGGGCCGUGAUCACUCGGGAGGUGAUCACGGGUAUAUACUAUACAUACAUACUAUACAGAUGGUGACUAAAGUCGGGUCAGCUUGUUGAGUACCCGCAAGUGAUUCCGAUGUGGGGGCUGAAAGGACAGGUGGCUCCAUCCCGGUAGAGGCGGGCCUGGGUUCCGGACGGCCCCCGACUGUUACUUUGUGGCGGAGCGACAGGGCAGGUUGAGACCGCCUAGGAGAGAGAUGGGCCUGUCCCUGUUCAGCGUUCGCGGAUACUUAACACGCUUAACGAGAUCUUGGUAUUUGAUCUGAGUCUGGCUACUGGCCUAUACGCACUAACCAACUACGCGGGAACAGUUAUGGGCGCUCGACGUCGUGGUAUCAGCCGAAGCCCUCUUGACGUCAGCGACGGAGCGGCGCGCACCGGAUUGGACCGCGUAACGUGACUUCCUUUGUAAUGGAGGUUGCUAGGUCUGCUUCCGACUGCCCCCGCAACGUGCAGGUGUGCAAUGGGCGAUGGGCCCAGACCCCUGCGCAUAGGAUUUAGACCGGCGGGCUGACCUCUCUGUUGUGCCUAGGUGGGGCUGCGACGUGUUGAUCUUCCAAGGCCGGGCAUGACCCAGGAAAGUGUGUCCGGCCAAAUGGGAUCGAGCGUGUUCGAUUAUGUGGUGCACCCCUGCAGGGAAGUUAAUCUAUUCGAAUAGUCGUGUCCCUCGGUAAAAGGACGACCCGAAGUUGUACCUUGACCUUAUGACAACUAGAACCGGAUACUUAAUAAAACACACCCAGACAAGUUCCAUAGAUAACCCGGUGAUCGCUUUUCCAUAGGGCGACGAGGGGAGGAUCGCCGGGUAAGAUUAUGCUAUGCGUUGCUACUUGGAGGACUUCAAUCUACUCUCUUCUACAUGCUGCAAGACGGAGGCUGCCAGAAGCGUAGUCUUCGACAUGAUUAGUUAUCCCCCUCUUAUUCUGGCAUUCUGCAGUUCAGCCCACUGAUAUGGCCUCCUUACACAUAUACCCAUGCAUAUGUAGUGUAGAUCCUUGCUUGCGAGUACUUUGGAUGAGUACUCACGGUUGCUUUCUCCCCCCUUUUCCCCCUUUCCUUUCUUUUUGGUUGUCGCAACCAGAUGCUGGAGUCUAGGAGCUAGACGCCACCGUCGACGACGACUCCUACUACGUUGGAGGUGCCUACUACUACGUGCAGCCCGCUGACGACGACCAGGAGUAGUUUAGGAGGAUCCCAGGCAGGAGGCAUGCGUCUCUUUCGAUCUGUAUCCCAGUUUGUGCAAGCCAUCUUAUGGCAACUUGUUUAACUUAUGUCUGUACUCAGAUAUUGUUGCUUCCGCUGACUCGUCUAUGAUCGAGCACUUGUAUUCGAGCCCUCGAGGCCCCUGGCUUUUAUUAUGAUGCUUGUAUGACUUAUUUAUGUUUGUAGAGUUGUGUUGUGGUAUCUUCCCGUGAGUCCCUGAUCUUGAUCAUACACGUUUGCGUGCAUGAUUAGUGUACGAUUGAAUCAGGGGCCUCACAAGUCGGUAUCAGAGCCGACUUCCUGUAGGAAUCCCCCUUCCGCACUCCUUGGCCGAAGUCGAGUCUAGUCACUACAAAACUUUUACUAACUUGGCUGUGUGCCUUACGGGCCCACGUCGCCAUUGGGUGGUAUUAGGAUAUUUUAUUCCUCGACCUAUACUCUGGGACUCUAAUCUCUCCUCUAUUCGGGUUAAAUGAUUUUACUAAAUCUGACUCUAGGUUCUCGUAACUACUUUCUCCCGGAGAGCCCCUAAUCACAGAUGAUCGCCUACUACGUCAGAAGAUUUCGAAGAUACUCUAGGAUGUUCUCCCGAGACGCUUGUGCCCACCGCCUUUGCAAAUUCCCUACCACUGUCAUAUCCUUAUGGAUAACUGCAUGCACCUGCCAUUCUUACAUUCGAUCCCAUUGAGCUUGUUAUUACAAGGUGCAACGAACUGCUCUUCGUUGUUCCGAGAAUCCUUUGAGCUUACUGCCUUACGGCUCUUUGCCACAAGAAUACCCAUAUGGAUAAUUCCUUGCACUUAUCGAGUAUCCGCUCCUUCUUAGUUUUUCAGGUGUUUCACAUAGGCCUUCAAAAUACUAUUCGAGCUUUCAAUAAUCCUCAACAGCCUGUUGUUCUUGAAGUUCUUGCUUGCUUGCAUUAUGGUUAAUCCCAGAAGCAUAAUAAUCUUAUUGGCAUCCUUUGUCACUAUCAUUUUUGAGUCCAUUGAUUCAAUAAGUUGUGAAUGUUCACAAUCAUCAUUCGAAUCCUAGGAUUAUCCUUCCGGCUCAGACGACAUUUGGAUAUCAGCUGGUUCUUGAACAAUCGAUGACUUGAUCGAUUGUGCUUCUAAGUCUAUUGAACUUAUUCGUUUUCGAUCAGAACGAUUGCUUCUGAUCCCUUGAUUUGGAAAUCAUAAAAUUUCAUAAAAAUUCUUUGCAUUAAGCUUUGAAUUACUCAGUUGUUUAUGUAAUCCGAUGCCUUGGCAUUCCAUUUUCCUUCUGAUUGAGUAACUCACCUCAGAUUCCUGGUGGUCCGUGAGACCAAUUGCUUGGUUAUUAUCCGAUAGUGUCCUUCAUAUUCAAUAAUCUUCUGAGCCGUCCUCAGACACAAAAUGCCCUCUGCUUUCUCAACCAUGUGCUGCUUUCGAGCUUGUAUGAAUUACUCCUGGAGUUGUGGUAUAUGUUUCUAAGAUGCCCCGAUGGGUUGAACAUAUACCUUCCUUAAUUUUUGUGAAACCAAAAGUCUUCAUGGGUCAUAACCUUCUGGUAUUCCGCCAGUUGAACUUUCAAACUCUAAACAUUCUUAACUGAGAGCAGUAAAUGAGAAGUUGUGUAUUGGAGAAGUGGGAGUCGACCUUGAACCUUGUGUUCAUGCCCAUGGACACGAUGUUGAUCUUAUCAUGGAUGCUUCUCUUAAACCCUAUUCGGUAUAAGUUUAACUUAUAUAUGGGAAUUUGUCUUUUGCAACCGUGGUUCCGACCAUACUUUCUUCUUGAUUCCAUUUCUCGGACAAGUUAGAGUACUUGUCUUCUGCAGAGCAUUACCCAAGUCCAACCUCUACUGUGAUCUGUCAUCGAGUAUUAUCCCCCUGGCAUCUCAAGAUUAUCAUGGAACUGCAUAACUUCUUAUGAGUUAUUCAUCAAGUGCUACCUUCCCACUGAUUCGAAUUUUUCACGGGCUCUGAGUUACUAAACACUCAAAGGCACCGAUAACUGAACCGAGUCCGCACUACGGUUCAACAACUCUUCAGUAAGCUUGUAUAAGUACGAGUUUGUACCCGAUCACGCCAUUCCUAGCCUGUUUGGCUAUAUCAUUGUCGUGAUGAUUCUAACUGUGCUACCUGGUCCUUAUUCUCGGAGCACCAAUUUGCGAUGAUAGCUAAGCUUACAUCGAUUUUCCUCAACAUACCCUUUCACCUUAAACAACAAGCUUGAGUUCGAGUUUGUGUCGUACUCGUGGUUCCAAUAACCUUUCACUUCAACAUUCCUUGACUUGAUGACAUCGCCGAUCAAUUACAUCUUCAUGAAAUCUCUCGACAAAUGCGUCAUGAUCAUCAUCAGCAUUCUGAGCUCUUCUAGGAUAUCAAUUGAAUUCAUGAUGAGAAAUACCCUCCUUGCCCUCGAUGAUUUGUUUUAUCAUCGACCACUUUAUUGCCUUCCGUUCAACACAAACUUGUUCGUGUUUUGUAUUAUACCUUGAGAUCCGUGCUAUCUAGCCUUUGUUCUUCUUUACCUUGGGGUAUUACCAUCUUUUAUGUUAGGAUUGUCUUGAGAAUUUCACCACCUCUUAAGAAUUCUUGGUAUAGUGAUACUUCUCACCAUCACCAUUCUUUCUUGGUCCUCGUGUUGAUUCCAACUGGGGUACCAACAAGUGAACGGUGUUGUUUGGAUUCUGCACUUCUAGCAACCCUAUUGCUUUGAAGUUAAUGGUCAGCCGUUCAUUCUUAGACUAUUGAUUAUUGAAUCACCAUUCUGACAUUGGUCGUGCAACCCAACCCAUAUUUUGGGCGCACCUUUCAACCAAUGUUUAAUUGUGUAUGUUUUCCUCGAGCAUACUUCCUUAUAUCAUUUGAUUGACAAAUGUUAUCUCCUUGUUCACAUAAUUGUGGAAAUCCAUCUUUUGGAAAUCUCGAUGAAUUGCCGUUGAGUUCACCAGACACCUCCUUGUCCUCUCCUUGGGUUAAUGAUGAACUCUUGUUAACGGAAAUCACUUCAUAGUUCAUUUCCCGAGAAUCUUACAUUGUCAUCUCGUCAAUUGUGUUGCACCUUUUCUUCUCAGGCAUACUAAUUCGGAGGUAUCCUGACACCAAUCGGAUCUAAACCUCGGUCAGAUAUGAUGGUUGGAACAUAUUUCCAAGAGUUAUAACAUCGGUCUUUAUAUGACUCGGUAAGGUGAUGUCAUGCCUAGCACACCUGGCCGAAGGGCCUAUUGUUAUAGUUUCUUUUUUUGCAAGGUUAACCAUUCUUCCUUGAGGAAAUUGUAAGACUUAUUCUAUAAGUUGUUCCUGAUGGAUCCUUUUUGUUUCCAAAGUUUGAUCUUCACCUGUUGACCAUGUCAAUGUUAUCUCGAAGCAUGUUUAUGGUAUUCUGAUUUUCAACAGGAACAUUUGAAAACCAAUGCUAAAUGUUUCCUGCUCAAUUAUCCAAACACCGUUGUAUGGGUAAUGUCAUGAACAUCCUCUCCCCUUACCUAAAUGGUUUUCUACGUUAUAUCCUGUCAUGGAUAUCAUGCUCUGUUUGUCCUAGGGAAGGGUAUACCCCAGAAAUAUGUGUUUAAACACAUUUUCCUUUCCAUUGUUCUGUUUAAUCUGAUACAUAUGUUUUCCUUUCCAUUGUUUGGUUUAAUCUUUCUUGUGAUCUAUAUGAUCUAAGCAGUAACAUUCUCCUGCUUUUGUAAGCACCUCGGUGUACAACUCUGUUAGUAAGAACCUGUUACUAUUGUUGAUGACAUUCCGGUAUCCACCAAUGGACGAGAACUUUGCCUAAUGGUCCGCCUCAUUCAACGAGCAGGAAAAGGGUUCUCUUCGUCCCUCGCCCUUGGUACCGACAUUGUUGCCGGCAUACCUGACAAGCUAUCCACUGACAUGCCUCCCUGUCGCGGUAUUGCAAGAUGUCAACACCCUUCGUACUUUUAACCCACAUGGUGGGCCCAUAACCCACAGUUCCACAGGAUCGAAACCUGACUCUCCUGUACACCCCGUGUUCCCAAAGUUAUUCCUCCCGCAUGGACUCGUAUGUAAUUCAUGAGCCACCUCCCGAUGAGAUCAUCAAUUCUGGUAUCAGACAUAAUACUUAUUCUCGUUACUCUGUACCCCUUUCACACCUUGUGUCAGUGAUCGAACAAUUUUCUAGCCGUUUGUAACUUCUUAUUGUACCAUAUUACUUUGCUCUCGACAUGUUUUAUUUGUUCAACUCGAGAGAUACUCAUAUGAUCAUUCGUGGGGUAACCCCCAAUGAUUACCCCUGGUAGCGUUCUAUCGUUGUCAAGCUGCCCCUUACCUAUUCGUAAGUACGUUGGAGAUCCCGAAGAAAGGAUGACGACUUGAUCAUGGUGACUUGAAGUAGAGAAAUGAAGACAGCAACGAAAGGGAUCAACCUCUUCGAAAGGGCAGCCAAGACCGAGAAGACUCGUUAGGUUUUCGCUACCAACACUUUCCCCCCUUACUCCACCACUUAAAUCUCCGGACGAGAUUUCUUGUAGUGGAGGAGAAUUGUGACGCCCGGAUAAUUAAGCUACAGUGAUCCCCGCUAAUGAUGCCACAUCACCCCGGUUACUAUGCAUAAACUCGCGUUAGUUCGAAACCUAGUUCGAAUUUCAAAUUUAAAACUAAGGCAAACUAUAAAAGUUUUCAAACAUUAAAAUUAAAAUGUUCGGAGUGUGCCAAUUAAUGCUUAGGUAUUUGUGGUGAAGAAACCACGCUUUUACUGAAUGCCUAAAU